RNAcentral lists this ribosomal RNA (468 nucleotides) under uncultured bacterium. RNAcentral describes it as "partial 16S ribosomal RNA". It matches the Rfam family "Bacterial small subunit ribosomal RNA", at positions 28 to 507 of the family's 1533-position model. The record is from RNAcentral.
GACGAACGCUGGCGGCGUGCUUAACACAUGCAAGUCGAACGGAAAGGCCCUGCUUUUGUGGGGUGCUCGAGUGGCGAACGGGUGAGUAACACGUGAGUAACCUGCCCUUGACUUUGGGAUAACUUCAGGAAACUGGGGCUAAUACCGGAUAGGAGCUCCUGCUGCAUGGUGGGGGUUGGAAAGUUUCGGCGGUUGGGGAUGGACUCGCGGCUUAUCAGCUUGUUGGUGGGGUAGUGGCUUACCAAGGCUUUGACGGGUAGCCGGCCUGAGAGGGUGACCGGCCACAAUGGGACUGAGAUACGGCCCAGACUCCUACGGGAGGCAGGAGGGGGGAAUAUUGCACAAUGGGCGGAAGCCUGAUGCAGCAACGCCGGGUGGGGGAUGACGGCCUUCGGGUUGGAAACCGCUUUCGCCUGGGACGAAGCGGGAGUGACGGUAAUGGGUAAAGAAGCACCGGCUAACUACGUG